This 454-nucleotide ribosomal RNA is filed under the name uncultured bacterium. RNAcentral's name for it is "partial 16S ribosomal RNA". It matches the Rfam family "Bacterial small subunit ribosomal RNA", at positions 28 to 507 of the family's 1533-position model. The record is from RNAcentral.
GAUGAACGCUGACAGAAUGCUUAACACAUGCAAGUCAACUUGAACUUCGGUUUGGGUGGCGGACGGGUGAGUAACGCGUAAAGAACUUGCCUCACAGCUAGGGACAACAUUUGGAAACGAAUGCUAAUACCUGAUAUUAUGAUUUUAGGGCAUCCUAGAAUUAUGAAAGCUAUAUGCGCUGUGAGAGAGCUUUGCGUCCCAUUAGCUAGUUGGAGAGGUAACGGCUCACCAAGGCGAUGAUGGGUAGCCGGCCUGAGAGGGUGAACGGCCACAAGGGGACUGAGACACGGCCCUUACUCCUACGGGAGGCAGCAGUGGGGAAUAUUGGACAAUGGACCAAGAGUCUGAUCCAGCAAUUCCGUGUGCACGAUGAAGUUUUUCGGAAUGUAAAGUGCUUUCAGUUGGGAAGAAAAAAAUGACGGUACCAACAGAAGAAGUGACGGCUAAAUACGUG